UUCCCCUUAACUCACAACACAGAUCCAUCCAUAAGAGCGUUAUUUGAAAGAAACGCCGUGUCUUUGUUUUAUAUUUACUCAGAUCGGAAUCGUUAGACAGACAAUAUUGUUUGGGAAAAGGUUUGGCUUAUAUCUAAUCAAUAUUUAAUUAUAAACAAAGUCAAAACGUUAUCGUUUAAAAAUAUACCUAGGAUUUACCCAGUGAAACAUUACUUUGUAAAAUUUAAAGCUGAUAUUGAUUUGAAUUGCACUUGUGUAACGGAGUGUAAAUAGAUUAAAUUAUUGCACAAAUGGGAACAGCGCCAUCUAUGUGGCGAGUGAUGGCAUUUAGCGAGUGGAGUUGUGCAUUGUGCAGGUAUGUUGUAAAAUGGUUUGCAUAUGGACGGUACCAAUAUUUUGGGUGGGCAGAAUUGUCCCUACUAAUAUUUGCGUGAACUCGUUCGCAUUAUCUUUGGAGUGAAGUCAUGUCAAUUCCAAAGCAUACUCUCCCAGAAGCGCCAGGAUUUAGGCAUGCUAGCAUUUGAUUGGCUGAAAGGGAGGGGGAGGGGUUAUCUGAAGACUCACCUCACGUGCAAAUCUCGAGCUUCCAGUGUAGAGUACAGACACGAAGGAGACAGUCAGUGUGAGUGAGGAUGAUCCUGAAGAAGUCAGUGUAGCAGUGUGAUGGACAUGGGGAGUAAGCCAUACCAGCCUGAUCCAAACUUCAUCGAAGUACAGCAACUUCCAAAUGAGAUUUUGCGCUUUCAGGAGAACUGGUACAGUCAGUAUUCAUGGCUUCACUGCAGUCCAACACUGAAAAAGGUUCUUUGUUUUGAGUGUGUCAAAGCAUACACCAUAAAAAAGACCACUUUGGAAAAAAAGAAUGACCCUACCUUCUGCACAAAGGGUUUCAAUAAUUGGCUAAGAUCUACCAUGUCUCAGCAGCGCCUUAAUAAUGUAGCUGUAUGCCAUGGACAUCAAGAGGUCCUUGACCAAGUAGAUCUUAAAGAUAUUUGCCAACAGUUCGUAUCGGUCAAUGACUGACGUAGGCACGUUUGGAUUGUUUAAAUAGACACCAAGGACUAUCAUGAAGAAUGUUGAUGUUGGAUGCAACAUUUCCGUUAACUAAUUUCCUAGUUUACUUUCUUUUAGUCUUUGAUCUGUUGCUUUGUAUAAUUUGUAUUUAAAUGUAAAUACAGAUCUUAAUGUAAAUAUAGAUGUUAUAUUUUAAUAAACCAGUUGGUUGUCAA
Molecule: long non-coding RNA, 1229 nt
Organism: Ictalurus furcatus (blue catfish)
Lineage: Eukaryota; Metazoa; Chordata; Actinopteri; Siluriformes; Ictaluridae
Exons: 2
Source: RefSeq, a predicted model, not a curated record